This 488-nucleotide ribosomal RNA is filed under the name uncultured bacterium. RNAcentral's name for it is "bacterial SSU rRNA". It matches the Rfam family "Bacterial small subunit ribosomal RNA", at positions 28 to 526 of the family's 1533-position model. The record is from RNAcentral.
AGUGAACGUUGGCGGCGUGGAUUAGGCAUGCAAGUCGCGCGGAAAGGCUCCUUCGGGAGCACUCGAGCGGCGAAAGGGAGAGUAAUGCGUAGAUUACCUACCUCCAGGCCCGGGAUAGCCGGGGGAAACCCCGGGUAAUACCGGAUAAUGUCUCCGGACCAAAGGUGUGAUUCCGCCUGGAGACGGGUCUGCGUCCUAUCAGCUAGUUGGUGAGGUAACGGCUCACCAAGGCAUCGACGGGUACGAGGCGUGAGAGCGUGUCCUCGCUCACUGGGACUGAGACACUGCCCAGACACCUACGGGUGGCUGCAGUCGAGAAUCUUCGGCAAUGGGCGCAAGCCUGACCGAGCGACGCCGCGUGCGGGAUGAAGGCCUUCGGGUUGUAAACCGCUGUCAGAGGGGAAGAAAUGCCAAGGGGUUCUCUUCUUGGUUUGACUGAUCCUCAGAGGAAGUACGGGCUAAGUUCGUGCCAGCAGCCGCGGUAACAC